RNAcentral lists this ribosomal RNA (497 nucleotides) under uncultured bacterium. RNAcentral describes it as "partial 16S ribosomal RNA". It matches the Rfam family "Bacterial small subunit ribosomal RNA", at positions 28 to 507 of the family's 1533-position model. The record is from RNAcentral.
GAUGAACGCUGGCGGCGUGCCUAAUACAUGCAAGUCGAGCGAACGGACGAGAAGCUUGCUUCUCUGAUGUUAGCGGCGGACGGGUGAGUAACACGUGGAUAACCUACCUAUAAGACUGGGAUAACUUCGGGAAACCGUAGCUAAUACCGGAUAAUAUUUUGAACCGCAUGGUUCAAAAGUGAAAGACGGUCUUGCUGUCACUUAUAGCUGGAUCCGCGCUGCAUUAGCUAGUUGGUAAGGUAACGGCUUAUCAAGGCAACGAUGCAUAGCCGACCUGAGAGGGUGAUCGGCCACACUGGAACUGAGACACGGUCCAGACUCCUACGGGAGGCAGCAGUAGGGAAUCUUCCGCAAUGGGCGAAAGCCUGACGGAGCAACGCCGCGUGAGUGAUGAAGGUCUUCGGAUCGUAAAACUCUGUUAUUAGGGAAGAACAGAUGUGUAAGUAACUGUGCACAUCUUGACGGUACCUAAUCAGAAAGCCACGGCUAACUACGUG